This 1847-nucleotide ribosomal RNA is filed under the name Escherichia coli. RNAcentral describes it as "partial 23S ribosomal RNA". It matches the Rfam family "Bacterial large subunit ribosomal RNA", at positions 1 to 1875 of the family's 2925-position model. Lineage: Bacteria; Pseudomonadati; Pseudomonadota; Gammaproteobacteria; Enterobacterales; Enterobacteriaceae. The record is from RNAcentral.
GGUUAAGCGACUAAGCGUACACGGUGGAUGCCCUGGCAGUCAGAGGCGAUGAAGGACGUGCUAAUCUGCGAUAAGCGUCGGUGAGGUGAUAUGAACCGUUAUAACCGGCGAUUUCCGAAUGGGGAAACCCAGUGUGUUUCGACACACUAUCAUUAACUGAAUCCAUAGGUUAAUGAGGCGAACCGGGGGAACUGAAACAUCUAAGUACCCCGAGGAAAAGAAAUCAACCGAGAUUCCCCCAGUAGCGGCGAGCGAACGGGGAGGAGCCCAGAGCCUGAAUCAGUGUGUGUGUUAGUGGAAGCGUCUGGAAAGGCGUGCGAUACAGGGUGACAGCCCCGUACACAAAAAUGCACAUAUUGUGAGCUCGAUGAGUAGGGCGGGACACGUGGUAUCCUGUCUGAAUAUGGGGGGACCAUCCUCCAAGGCUAAAUACUCCUGACUGACCGAUAGUGAACCAGUACCGUGAGGGAAAGGCGAAAAGAACCCCGGCGAGGGGAGUGAAAAAGAACCUGAAACCGUGUACGUACAAGCAGUGGGAGCCUCUUAAUGGGGUGACUGCGUACCUUUUGUAUAAUGGGUCAGCGACUUAUAUUCUGUAGCAAGGUUAACCGAAUAGGGGAGCCGAAGGGAAACCGAGUCUUAACUGGGCGUUAAGUUGCAGGGUAUAGACCCGAAACCCGGUGAUCUAGCCAUGGGCAGGUUGAAGGUUGGGUAACACUAACUGGAGGACCGAACCGACUAAUGUUGAAAAAUUAGCGGAUGACUUGUGGCUGGGGGUGAAAGGCCAAUCAAACCGGGAGAUAGCUGGUUCUCCCCGAAAGCUAUUUAGGUAGCGCCUCGUGAAUUCAUCUCCGGGGGUAGAGCACUGUUUCGGCAAGGGGGUCAUCCCGACUUACCAACCCGAUGCAAACUGCGAAUACCGGAGAAUGUUAUCACGGGAGACACACGGCGGGUGCUAACGUCCGUCGUGAAGAGGGAAACAACCCAGACCGCCAGCUAAGGUCCCAAAGUCAUGGUUAAGUGGGAAACGAUGUGGGAAGGCCCAGACAGCCAGGAUGUUGGCUUAGAAGCAGCCAUCAUUUAAAGAAAGCGUAAUAGCUCACUGGUCGAGUCGGCCUGCGCGGAAGAUGUAACGGGGCUAAACCAUGCACCGAAGCUGCGGCAGCGACACUAUGUGUUGUUGGGUAGGGGAGCGUUCUGUAAGCCUGUGAAGGUGGCCUGUGAGGGUUGCUGGAGGUAUCAGAAGUGCGAAUGCUGACAUAAGUAACGAUAAAGCGGGUGAAAAGCCCGCUCGCCGGAAGACCAAGGGUUCCUGUCCAACGUUAAUCGGGGCAGGGUGAGUCGACCCCUAAGGCGAGGCCGAAAGGCGUAGUCGAUGGGAAACAGGUUAAUAUUCCUGUACUUGGUGUUACUGCGAAGGGGGGACGGAGAAGGCUAUGUUGGCCGGGCGACGGUUGUCCCGGUUUAAGCGUGUAGGCUGGUUUUCCAGGCAAAUCCGGAAAACCAAGGCUGAGGCGUGAUGACGAGGCACUACGGUGCUGAAGCGACAAAUGCCCUGCUUCCAGGAAAAGCCUCUAAGCAUCAGGUAACAUCAAAUCGUACCCAAAACCGACACAGGUGGUCAGGUAGAGAAUACCAAGGCGCUUGAGAGAACUCGGGUGAAGGAACUAGGCAAAAUGGUGCCGUAACUUCGGGAGAAGGCACGCUGAUAUGUAGGUGAAGCGACUUGCUCGUGGAGCUGAAAUCAGUCGAAGAUACCAGCUGGCUGCAACUGUUUAUUAAAAACACAGCACUGUGCAAACACGAAAGUGGACGUAUACGGUGUGACGCCUGCCCGGUGCCGGAAG